Molecule: ribosomal RNA, 358 nt
Filed under: uncultured bacterium
Lineage: Bacteria
Description: bacterial SSU rRNA
Rfam family: Bacterial small subunit ribosomal RNA
Source: RNAcentral
AACGAACGCUGGCGGCAGGCCUAAUACAUGCAAGUCGAACGGGCGUAGCAAUACGUCAGUGGCGGACGGGUGAGUAACACGUGGGAACAUGCCUUUCGGUUCGGAAUAACGCAGGGAAACUUGCGCUAAUACCGGAUGACCCGGCGACGGAAAGAUUAUCGCCGAAGAUUGGCCGCGUAGGAUUAGCUAGUUGGUGAGGUAACGGCCCACCAAGGCGACGAUCCUUAGCUGGUUUGAGAGAACGAUCAGCCACACUGGGACUGAGACACGGCCCAGACUCCUACGGGAGGCAGCAGUAGGGAAUCUUGGACAAUGGGGGAAACCCUGAUCCAGCCAUGCCGCGUGAGUGAUGAAGGCC